This 253-nucleotide ribosomal RNA is filed under the name uncultured archaeon. Its description in RNAcentral is "partial 16S ribosomal RNA". It matches the Rfam family "Archaeal small subunit ribosomal RNA", at positions 474 to 726 of the family's 1478-position model. The record is from RNAcentral.
CCCCGGCGCCACGAGUGGGAAUCACGAUUAUUGGGUCUAAAGCGUCCGUAGCCGGUUUGAACAAUCUUUGGUGAAAUCGUUCUGCUUAACAGGACGGCGUGCUAAAGAGACUGUCAGACUUGGAACCGGGAGGAGUCAGAAGUAUAUUUGGGGGAGCGGUAAAAUGCAAUAAUCCUAAAUAGACUACCCGUGGUGGAGACGUCUGACUAGAACGGAUUCGACGGUGAGGGACGAAAGCUAGGGGAGCGAACCG